Non-coding RNA from Physcomitrium patens, 1403 nucleotides. The record is from RefSeq and is a predicted model, not a curated record. Lineage: Eukaryota; Viridiplantae; Streptophyta; Bryopsida; Funariales; Funariaceae.
UGGGCUGGCUUCGCGAAGCCUUAGAUCUGUGGGGCAUGGAUUCGGUGCUCAGGAUGCGCUUCUCGAUCAUUCUGCGUUGUUGAAUGCUGGAGGAUGUGCCAAAUUCAAUUGGGCUGGGCUGUGUCUCCAGAAUUUCUUACCGCCUACCGGGCUUAUUGUCUCAUUGCGUGGGAGUUGAGACUGUUUGAUCAGCUGUGGGGUUCCAAAGGAGUUCGCCAGAUUUAUUGGAGAUAGGAAUUGAAGCUAUUUUCAUGGUUUUGUUUGCAAGCUCAGGUUUGACGAUCUUUUGGUCGUGGUAGAUUUCAUUGCCCUUGAAAGUCGAGUGUGCAUUUUCUGUGUGGAGAUUAACCCUUGUGCGGAGUUUUUUUUGUUUUAUUUUAUGGAAACAGUAGUAAUGUGCGGUUUUCCUGUGAUGUUUGUGCGGAAGAAGAGAUUGAUGUGUCAUUUGCUUGGAAUCUGGAGUAAUUUUUUUCGCUUAUUUUUCCUAUGGGCGAUGAUGUGUUGGAGAUUAUUGAACUGCAUCCUAUACGUGAAGUUUAACUGGAUAGUAGGCGUGUAUGAGGUCAAAUUUAGAUAAACAAUUGGGUCAUCACAAUGAAUGGGAGCCUUGGGGAAAUGUGUUCCGGUUUAGUCUAGAAUGGACGCUCUAAACCCCGUUUCAUUGUCAUGGAUUUUUCCAAAAUAACAAUUCACGACAUAGUUUUUGACCAGUUAACCUACAGCCCUUCUAUGAACAUGUUGAGGGAGCUCGGCUAUCUCCGAUUUUCUUAGUAGGAUUUUAGCUGAUAAUAAUUUCUUAGACACCAUUCCAUUGUGUGGAUACAGCUAGGAGUUGGGUUUAAGCAAGAUAGACCUUGAUUCCCUAAAGAAGAGCUAUUGCAAGACAGUUAUUCAGAGCACAAUCUAAGGGCAUGGAAUUUGGGUUGGACAGGUAGGAAUGGGGCACGGUAUCGCGGUAAGCCCUGAGAUUGCCAAGAGAGUUCUGUGGGUCUGUCUCUAGAUUCCUACAGCAACUCUUGCUGCGCGUCUAUACACAGAUCCUGUCCACCAAACGAAUACUCGCCGUGCGAUUAAUUUGCCCAUGCCACCUCACGUGCCUCCACCAGUGGCCGAUUUCAGUGAACAGCAAACUGAGGAUUCAAGCUGAGCAAAUUUAAGCUUCAGGUUUAUCUCCGAUGAGAAGGGGUGGGUAUACAUAUUGAUGACAACGGCCCAUAUGGUCUCUUUGUAGACAUUUUGUACAGAGAGUACACAUCAUUACUUCAACGAUCUGUUAAUCAGAGCUCAGGGUUGCUAAUUAUUUAACUUUAAUCAAUUUUGCAGCUGAGAGAACUAUUUUCCCUUCAUUUUGUACUAUCCGGAAACGGGUUUCACUACCAAAUUACAGUCAAUCAUUGUCCCUU